GCACCUUUGGAUCCUGUGGGAACUAAUAGUAGGAUUUGCUCUUGAGUUGUGUAGCCACACACCCUUCCCCAGGCAGGGCCUCAUGUGGCUAUUCUGGUAGAGUGUCCCUGAUUUUCUGUGGGCAGCCAUCCUCACUCCACUCUCAGUGACCCCACUCUGACUGCAAGGGUGGGUUUGUCAUGAUAAUUUCUAGUAUCAUAGUCCCUGGCCUAAGUGACAGGUUCUGGCCUGGCCAUGUGAUACUGUCGGGGCCACUGAGGAACAAAAGGACACCAUGGGUAAAGGGACUACUGCCCACUCCCUGCUGGAUAAGGCAGGAUGUGGACACCAAAGAUAGGGCCUAUUGGAGAAAAGGCCACAUGGGGAAUGGAGCCUGAGGGAUAAGCUCAGGCCCCAUAAAAAUGCUGGGACUCACCCUGCUCUCAGACUUUCCUUCUUGUUUUUGAUUUUCUGUCAUCACUGAAAUGUCCUGACAAGCACCAAAAUUUGUGACACUGAGAUGCAGAGAGAUUAGGCAGCUACAGUGAUGGCAGAGAUGGGGCACCUAAGUGGAGAAACAGAGAGGAACGUCAGACUGGGUUUCAAAGACUGUCAGUCUGAACAAUAAGUGCCCCUCAGGCCAGCAUGCUAGAUUACUUUGGUAAUGACCACAAGCCAGGGAGGCAAAUCACAGAUUUAGGAAGGAGCAGUGUGUGCCUUCUAAGGUAAUUUAAGCAAAAGUUGCUGUGCUUAAAGGGAAAUUCAGCUUUUCGGCAUGACUAGUUCCUAAAGGAAGUAUGUCCCUAUUAAAUUUUAAAAUAAAAUAUAACAAAAAAUCAUGGCUAACAGUUCAACAUUUCAUGAUUUUACUGCCCACGUUUUAUCAAAAGAUAAAUCAUGAGAUGACGUUAGGUGUGCAUUCAUCCCCGUUUCACGCACAACAUCUGAUUUUAUGGUAAAGAAAAGGUUCCAUGAAUUUCCCCUCAUUUCCCUGGAUAGAAGAGGGAGAUUUGGCCUUGGGACAAGUAGAGGUUAGCCUGAGGUGUGGGAGUUCUCUGAGAGCUGAUAUGCUUGUGCUGCGUCACCCGCCCUCAUAAUACCCCACAUCAGGGAAGUGACAGAAACUUUUAGAUUUAUUGAGCACAGUGUGCAAGGGAGGCCCUGUGAUAGGUUGUGGAGCCCAUGACCCUGUCUCACCCUUAUGUUGCCUCUACCUCAGGUAGACAUUCUUCUCCCCACUUCCUGCCAGGAGCUGGAUUUGGAUGUAGUAUGUGUUAUUCAGCUUUGCACUGCUGUGACCAAAAUAUCCUACAAGCACAACUUAGAGGAGGAAAGAUUUAUUUUGGCUCAUGGUUUCAGAGGAUUCAGUCCAUUGUUGACUGGCUCCAAGGCAGAAACUGCAUGGUGGAGGACGUG
RNAcentral lists this long non-coding RNA (1395 nucleotides) under Marmota monax (woodchuck). The record is from RNAcentral. Lineage: Eukaryota; Metazoa; Chordata; Mammalia; Rodentia; Sciuridae.